RNAcentral lists this unclassified non-coding RNA (267 nucleotides) under plant metagenome. RNAcentral describes it as "partial contains small subunit ribosomal RNA, internal transcribed spacer 1, and 5.8S ribosomal RNA". The record is from RNAcentral.
UUUCCGUAGGUGAACCUGCGGAAGGAUCAUUAUCGUACAAAAUGUGAGGGGCAUGCGAGUGCUGUCGCUGACCCAAAAGUCUUUCACGUCCGAGUGUGUCCUCUUGCAUAAUAAUCCAUCUCACCCUUUGUGCAUCACCGCGUGGGCACCCUUAUGGAUCAUCUCGGAGGGGGGCUCGCGUUUUCACACAAACCCCCCUUUUAAAAGUGUAGAAUGACGACAUAUAUGAUAUCAAUACAACUUUCAACAACGGAUCUCUUGGCUCUC